Molecule: long non-coding RNA, 783 nt
Filed under: Homo sapiens (human)
Lineage: Eukaryota; Metazoa; Chordata; Mammalia; Primates; Hominidae
Description: non-protein coding lnc-F13A1-3:18
Source: RNAcentral
ACCAUACAGGGGAACACUCGGCAGAGCCAGAGGCCUGGGCCCAAGUCCUGCCACCAGCUGGCUGUGAAACUGUGGUACAGCACCUUGUGUCCUGCCACCAGCCGGCUGUGAAACUGGUACAGCACCUUGUCCUCAGGUCCUUGGUUUCCUCACUUGUAAAUUCAUGGUUCUCCAUGGCAUCUCUGGUCUUCAACAUUAUUUUGCAUAGAGUCUCAGAAGCUUUAGUGUGAGCGGAUGAUAUGGGCACGAAGCAAGGCACCCAGAAGUGGGGGCAACUACUCUGCUUUCUAAAAUGCAAGGGAACCGGAAAAUCCAGGAGCCGUGCCAAAGAAAUGACUUACUGCAAAGAACCACUCUUCCCCACGAGACUUCGAGAAGACCCGCUGUCACGGACUGAGUUGUGUCCUCUUAAAAUUCAGAUGUUGGAGUCCAAACCCCCAGUAACUCAGAGUGUGAACGUAUUUGAAGAGGUCUUUAAAGAGGUGAUGAAGGGAGAGAGACCCCAUGAGCUCGUCAAGCUCCUUCUGUGACUGAUCAGAGAUCCCACCGUGAGUCCAGCUCCUGGUCCCAUGCUCUGGAUAUAUCGGUCCCUGGCAGCGUGGCUCCAUCUCCGUAGCCUGCUUUUGACAAAAGUGGAUACAUAAAUCUAGGGGCCACCUAGCUAGUUCUAAUAAGACUUUGGAAGUCAAAAGCUAAAGAAGACCAGGGGACCAAGCUGGAAAUCAGGCUCUGCAAUCAGAUUCCAGAGGGAAUGCCAUUCCACCCAAUCACCUAGCCACAACG